UCGCUGUGAUGAUGUCAUUUCCUGCCAUUCGUAGUUUCCACCAGAGGUCACAUGACCAAAGAUGGUUCAAAGCUUCCUUGGAUGUCUGAGCGA
Molecule: non-coding RNA, 93 nt
Organism: Tetraodon nigroviridis (spotted green pufferfish)
Lineage: Eukaryota; Metazoa; Chordata; Actinopteri; Tetraodontiformes; Tetraodontidae
Source: Rfam